This is a long non-coding RNA of Chinchilla lanigera (long-tailed chinchilla), 1872 nucleotides long. RefSeq lists it as uncharacterized. NCBI's taxonomy places the organism in Eukaryota, Metazoa, Chordata, Mammalia, Rodentia, Chinchillidae. The transcript is spliced from 2 exons. The record is from RefSeq and is a predicted model, not a curated record.
ACCAAAAAAAAAAAAAAACAAAACAAAAAAACAGAUCCCGCACGUCAUUGUUUUCUUGAGAAAAAGAAAGAAUGUUUGAGUGUUUGUCCGUAUGACAUAUUACAGAACUCAAUAUCUGAGUGUAGCUACCUUCUAACAAAACCGUAAUUCCUUGAUAAACAACUUCUGAGAUUGUUUCUUCUUGUCUUUGUGAUUUCCCAUCUGUAAAGUGGGAAUAAAGCAAUGCCUACCUCACAGGGGUGUUGUGAGGAUUUGUAGUAAGAUUGUGUUAACUUUUGUCAGUAUUAUUUAUAAAAACCAACAAUAUAAGAAAAACUAUUCUGUAGCUAAACUUAUUUCCUUCAGAAUUCCAAUCUGUAAAUUCCAAACUUGUACUACUUAAUAUUCAAUAAUUGACAAAACCGUUUUUUACAAAUGCUCUAGACAUAAUAUCUUCCCUUAGAGUGUAAUUAUCACCUUUCUUCUUCAGCGUUCAAGCGAGAAGGCUACUGAAAUAAAACUUUGCCAAUUUCAGCUUUAUUGAAAGUUCCCUUAAACCUGCUGUUUUCAUGUGAGAAAGGAACAGCCAACGAAGAUACAGCAUUUUCAUUUCUUCGAUGAAGAUGAUCUGAAUAGUGCACAGGGUUAGGAAGUUGAAUAAGGAUAUUACCUGCAGUGUCUGCCCGUUGUUGUCCUAGUGCUGAGGUGCGUCGUCGCUGUGCGGGCACCGUUUCGGGGGUGUCACACGAAGCAGCGUCGGUGGACCUCGUUUCACCAAGCACAGCCGGUGGUAUGGGAAAUCGGCGCCCUCACCGAGCGCUUUCCAGCUGCCAUCUCUGCAGAGGCCGGUGCUGUAGCCCUUUCCUUGAAGUUGCUCCCUUUGCUCCUCUUUCUGUUCCGUUUACACCCUGCUACAUCUCCUGCCCCCUCCCCAACAUAAUCCGCAGCUCUGGGUCUCAGCCAGGGUGUGUUAGUCAGGGUUCUCCAGAGCAGCGGAACCGAGAGGCAGUAGGCACACAGGUAAUGUUCUGACAGAUUGCCUCAUGCAACUACGGCAGCGCAGAAGCUCCUGGAUUUGUACCUGGUGAGCUGAGAGCCAGGAGAGCCCGUGAUUUCAUUCCCAUGUGAGUCCACAGGCCCGAGAACCAGGAGAGCUAAAGGCGUAGUUUCUAGCCUCAAAGCGGGCAGGCCUGAGACCCGAGAAGAGCCAGCGUGAAAUUUCUGCGUCUGUCAAAGGAAAGGGUCAGCAUCCAAGACCACGCAGUCAGGCCGAGGUCACCUCUGUCCUGUCCAGGCUUUCAGUGGAUUGAGGGCCAUCGGCUUUGCGGAGUGUGUGGUCUCAAACAGUAAUCUUACCCAGAAACGCUCCCCUGCACCCAGUGUGUCUGACGAAAUAACUGCCCCGUCCCCCGGCCAGCUGUCUCGCAGGGCUGCCCCUGUCCUGGAGACUUCGGCAGUUGGAGCGGCUUUGCUUGUCACAGGUGGGUGGAGGCCAGAGGAAGGCUGCUGCUGGCAUCUAGUGGACAGAGGCCGCGUGUGCUGCUGACCAGCUGAACCAUGCAGAGGACCGCCCAUUGAGGAACUACCCGGCCUGCAUGCCGGGAGAGCUGAGGUAGACCGGUGCUGGUCUGAAAGCUUCGAGUUUCGGGUGAUUGUCGGGAAUUAACAAAAAAUGUGGCAUUUCUAUCCCAGUAAUGUUUGGAAUUUAUAUUGUUCUAUUGGUGUAUGUGUAUGUUCUGAAGUAAAUUGUAUUAUCCUUUAUCUCAGCUUUUAAACGGUUUUAAAUGUGAUUAUUUAAAAUCUGAAAUGUAUUAUUUAGACAGUUAUAAAUCUAUUCACAUAAUGUUUGAACUAAAUAAAUGUAACUCUAAAGUCUCUUGGUGAAAUUGUGAA